AUGGACCCCACUCUCUGGGCCAUACCCCCAAGCACAUUCUUGGCGGACAGCGGCACUGACGUCUGCUCAAAAUUCUUCUCGGCGGCCAGCGACAGUGUCUGCCCCGGCUGCUCGCGUCCGAUGGACACGUGUAAGGGGCAUAUACUUGUCGAAGCCAAGGAGCCCGCGGCCACGAUGACUCCAGCGCAACCGACCUACACCGUCGGGGACGACCUCUCGGUGGCUCCGGCGUCCAAUGUGGUGUCGGGCAUCACCCUGCUCGUGCGGCGGCGUCAAGGACCUGAGCACGCUGCAGGAGAGGACGGUGAAGAUCGGCAAGGAAGAGGCGCUGGCGAUACUCGCUGCUUCCCUCACGUCCAAGACCGUGCUGACUGA
Molecule: ribosomal RNA, 375 nt
Filed under: Triticum aestivum (bread wheat)
Lineage: Eukaryota; Viridiplantae; Streptophyta; Magnoliopsida; Poales; Poaceae
Description: partial small subunit ribosomal RNA
Source: RNAcentral